CAGGUGAUGCAUUAAUUGUAUCUGUGUGCUUCCUGCAUUUUAUUCCCACCAACAGGCCUCUAGGAGAAUACUCCUGUCCCCUCACAGGGUGUGAGCAGCUCCUCCGGGUUCCUGCUGGAGGUGGCGGUACUUCCAGUUCUGCCAGUGACAGGUAUGCACAGAAGGAGGAGAGGCAGGCUGGGAGCAGAGCCUGUGGGAGGUGCCUGCCGACGCACAGGUGGCACUGCCCAAACAGAACUAGAACUUCAGGUCUGCGCCCAGAAGGGGUCUUGGCUGUGUCUGGACACUUGUGGCUCAUCUGUGAAGAUGAAAUGGAGGUGGAAUGUGUGAAUAUGUUCAACCAGGGAAAGCGAAUAGACUGAAAUGUGGAAACCACGAUGGGAAACAAUUUAAACACAGGCUGUCGAAGAAGGCAGGAUGGGGAUGCCUGGGAAGGGGCCAAGAAGCCAGGGAAUCAUGGUGGCACGCUGCUGCAGAAUUCAGAAGAUGAGAGAAUUUCCAACUGGAGCAAAUGUCCAACAAUGCUUGUGAUUGUUUCAUCUUUGUAACACAGGGAUGGAGAAGGGCCCGGUAGUGAAGAUGGGAGAAAUUUCCAGAAACUUCUAGAAGUUGGGAACCCUUCCUUGUGGAAAAGACAGUCUUCAAGAGUAUAGAUUGAAGCUAGAUGAGACAGAAGCAAAGGCCCCAUCACAAGCUGAGUCCCCAGGAUGGUUUCAGAGUACUACCAAGCUUAGAGUCUCUCCAGCCACAAUGGAAGACAAUGGGAAUUGGGAUGACGUAGAUGUCCAGGUUGCACAGUCCAGAACCAGCUUCGCUCCAGGAAGGGGAACCAGCAAAAUUUGGAUGCUGCAGCUACUCUCUUCUGAAAACUAGGGACCUGGAAGAUGAGAACUUCUCAUUUGCCAAAUCAGGUUCCCUUACAGGUUAAGAAUUCAUGGUGAUAAAAUGGAACUUUCUGCUUGAAGCAGCACCAUUUGAACUGCUGGCCAAAGUGGCAACCAGAAGGGAAAUAUUGCCCAUGAACCAGCAGCCCCCAGACUGCUCAGUCUGAAAGCAACGCAGAAUUUCACAGUCACUCUGCACCUAAGGAGCCCUGGGUACCAAGAUCCAAACACCCAGGGCUACCAUCGACCUGCGUCCCGGGGGUUGAUUCUCACUGAUUCCAUCUUGAAGCAUAAGAGUAUGUUCACUGAGGGGGGGACUUGACGGGAUGAGCACAGGGUGUUUGUUAUAUGUUGGCAAA
Molecule: long non-coding RNA, 1243 nt
Organism: Canis lupus familiaris (dog)
Lineage: Eukaryota; Metazoa; Chordata; Mammalia; Carnivora; Canidae
Exons: 3
Source: RefSeq, a predicted model, not a curated record